This 458-nucleotide ribosomal RNA is filed under the name uncultured bacterium. RNAcentral's name for it is "bacterial SSU rRNA". It matches the Rfam family "Bacterial small subunit ribosomal RNA", at positions 341 to 789 of the family's 1533-position model. The record is from RNAcentral.
UAGGAAGGCAGCAGUGGGGAAUAUUGCACAAUGGGCGAAAGCCUGAUGCAGCUAUGCCGCGUGUAUGAAGAAGGCCUUAGGGUUGUAAAGUACUUUCAUCGGGGAGGAAAAACAAAACUAAUAAUUUUAUUUCUUGACGUUACCCGAAAAAGAAGCACCGGCUAACUCCGUGCCAGCAGCCGCGGUAAUACGGAGGGUGCUAGCGUUAAUCAGAAUUACUGGGCGUAAAGAGCACGUAGGUGGUUUUUUUAAGUCAGAUGUGAAAUCCCUGGGCUUAACCUAGGAACUGCAUUUUGAAACUGAAAUACUAGAGUAUCGUAGAGGGAGGUAGAAUUCUAGGUGUAGCGGUGAAAUGCGUAGAUAUCUGGAGGAAUACCUGUGGCGAAAGCGGCCUCCUAAACGAAUACUGACACUGAGGUGCGAAAGCGUGGGGAGCGAAACAGGGAUUAGAUACCCGU